UGAGAUAUUACUAACCCCCGCCUACUCUCU
Molecule: non-coding RNA, 30 nt
Filed under: Mus musculus (house mouse)
Lineage: Eukaryota; Metazoa; Chordata; Mammalia; Rodentia; Muridae
Source: RNAcentral